GACGUAGGGUGCAAGCGUUGUCCGGAUUUACUGGGCGUAAAGAGCGCGUAGGCGGUCUAUUAAGUGUGAAGUGAAAUCUCCAGGGCUCAACCCGGAAACUGCUUUGCAAACUGACAGACUGGAGGGAUGCAGAGGUAAGUGGAAUUCCUGGUGUAGCGGUGAAAUGCGUUGAUAUCAGGAGGAACACCCAUGGCGAAGGCAGCUUACUGGGCAUCUCCUGACGCUGAGGCGCGAAAGCGUGGGUAGCAAACAGG
Molecule: ribosomal RNA, 254 nt
Filed under: uncultured bacterium
Lineage: Bacteria
Description: partial 16S ribosomal RNA
Rfam family: Bacterial small subunit ribosomal RNA
Source: RNAcentral